CGAACGGCAGAGAUAGCUCAAGAGGGAGUGAGGAACCGCCAGUCGGUCCGUGACGGAGGAACCGUACGCUUGCGCUUUUGUUUUGCACUUGUGAACACCUUACUCCCUCACCUCCACACCUUAGAGCGCCAAAGAUCUGUGAGAACGUCAAGGAAUGGACAUAAUUAAGUAGAUGGGACGCCCUCUGGGACCUCUGGUCACCACAAGGAACAGGAACAGGAGGAGGAGGAGGAGGAGAAGGAGGAGGAACAACAACAACAACAACAACAACAACAAAUGAGUGUCCCAGUGUGACGUAUCAUAGGACGCGAUCCCGCCUGACCUAUGUGAAAAACCCGCUCCCUCCACGUGCUGCCUGACCCCUGUCCUGUCCCUGGGCAAUACACACCGCGUACUGGUGACGGAGUGACGUCACGCACUACGCCCCCAGAGCCUGACCCGGUUAAGUCUGAAAGAAAGUCCCUAGGAGGCUCGAUUUAAGGCAAAGGCUGGAAGAGAAGAUAAACUCGAACCCUCACCUUUCCAAACACGCAAGUCCGGGAAGGAGAAGUUGUCACAGCACAGAGUCAUUCAUAAAACGGCCCGAAAACCACCCAAGCCCACGUAUGCCAUGCCUGCCGCUGCCUCCCACCCAUGAACCGACAUGGUGACUUGCAACUCCGUCAUCAGGUCUUUUGGUCCAGUCUCAAGAAAUGGAUGGCUGCACAUGCACUGCCCCUGCCUCCUUCUGCUCGUGUCCCGGUCCAGGUGAAGUUCAGCACUGCAGUUUGAUAUCAAGUCUAGCCUGGCGUGAAAUGAAAGAUUGGACGGGUGUGAAGGCGUAAAAUGAAUCGUGUAAGUAGAGGCAAGUUGGAAGCGAUCAUGAAGGGCCUCUGCGGGGUUACCCGGCGGUGGCGGUGGCGGCGGCGUGGUAGUGGUGGUGGUGGUGAUGUUUGGCGUUCUUUGUUUCCACAGGAGCCGCCGGGUAAACUCGGCAAAUAACAUGACAUUACCAACACACCAAGCUCCUCAUCUGAUCCGGUAGUGACGAGCAUCAUCAACUGAGGAGGACUGACCCACGUCAUUACUGCUGACUGACAAAGGAUGAAGCGAAAACAACCAACAACUUCAAGUGCAUACCAUCUGCAACUCUGCUCGUUGUCACUUGUGGGAUUGAAACCGGGAGACAGGCAUGGCGGCUUGGAAAGGAACAGAAGGGCGUUUUAUGUUCAUCAGUCAUCAGCUGGUGCCGGUUGAGAUCUCCACAACACUGGUGGUUGAAGAGAGGUGACAGGAAAUGUGGACAAACUUCACCUACUUGACAACGACUUGGAAAUAGCUGACUUCUGGAAUGACCUUACCUUGGGUCACUGAGAUCACCAUGUCUGAACAUCAAUCACUUGGUCACUACAGAUAGUGAGGCAUUUCAUUACCAGAAUCAUGCAGCUCAGCCUGAAUACAUCCAGCAGCAGUGGAGGAGAGAAGUGGUGCUCCCUCUACAGUCAGCUUUUGGUGGAGAAUGCUCUAUUAGCAAGAAGAAUUCAAGUUUAUUCUUUAAAAUUUGCAUUCUUAA
Molecule: long non-coding RNA, 1552 nt
Organism: Scylla paramamosain (green mud crab)
Lineage: Eukaryota; Metazoa; Arthropoda; Malacostraca; Decapoda; Portunidae
Exons: 14
Source: RefSeq, a predicted model, not a curated record